CGUAGGGUGCAAGCGUUAAUCGGAAUUACUGGGCGUAAAGCGUGCGCAGGCGGUUCUAUAAGACAGAUGUGAAAUCCCCGGGCUCAACCUGGGAAUGGCAGUGGAUACUGGACGGCUAGAAUGCGGUAGAGGGGAGUGGAAUUCCCGGUGUAGCAGUGAAAUGCGUAGAGAUCGGGAGGAACACCCGUGGCGAAGGCGGCUCACUGGACCGGCAUUGACGCUCAAGCGCGAAAGCGUGGGGAGCAAACAGG
RNAcentral lists this ribosomal RNA (251 nucleotides) under uncultured bacterium. Its description in RNAcentral is "partial 16S ribosomal RNA". It matches the Rfam family "Bacterial small subunit ribosomal RNA", at positions 526 to 776 of the family's 1533-position model. The record is from RNAcentral.